GCCUAAGUGUAAACUUUUACUUACAUUCUUAUCGCCUGGAUACUACAAGCCACGCUUGAAACCCAAGGGACUUGACGGUACCCCACACCCCACUAGAGGAGCCUGUCGCGUAAUCGAUGAUCCCCGCUUAACCUCACCACCCUUAGCUUAUCAGUCUGUAUACUUCCGUCGCAGCCUACCUCAUGAGUGACUCUUAGUAGGCCAAUGACCCACACGUCAGGUCAAAGUGCAACCAAUAAGGUGGAAGUAGAUGGGCUACAUUUUCUAAAUUAGACUACACGAAAGACUAAAUGAAACUUUAUCAGAAGGUGGAUUUAAUAGUAAGGGGAAAAUAGAGUGCUCCCCUUAAUUCGGCACUGGAGUGCGUACAAACCGCCCGUCACCCUCUUCGACCCAAAAUAAUAGUUCUUAACACCUUAAAAUUAAUAAGAAGGGGUAAGUCGUAACAUGGUAAGUGUACCGGAAGGUGCACUUGGAACCGAAACAUAGCUAAACUAAAGCCCUUCGCUUACACCGAAAAAAUGUCCGUAACAAGACUGUUUCGAGCCAAAAACCUAGCUCAACACCCCCUCUAAAAACUAAAAUAUUCUUCCAAUCUAGUACAGACGAUUGAAAAAUUCCUACGUAGCAAUAAAGCCGUACCGCAAGGGAGGUGAAAUAAUAUGAAAUAAGCACUACAAAGUAGAGACUAACCCUCGUACCUUUUGCAUCAUGGUUUAACUAGUUUAAUCAGGCAAAAAGUCUUAAAGUCUGCCCCCCCGAAACUAAGUGAGCUAUUUAAGGGCAGUUUAUUGAACCAACCCAUCCCUGUUGCAAAAGGGUGG
This 824-nucleotide ribosomal RNA is filed under the name Haddadus aramunha. Its description in RNAcentral is "partial 12S ribosomal RNA". The stretch from base 1 to 488 matches the Rfam family "Bacterial small subunit ribosomal RNA", at positions 794 to 1533 of the family's 1533-position model. Lineage: Eukaryota; Metazoa; Chordata; Amphibia; Anura; Craugastoridae. The record is from RNAcentral.